ACUCCUACGGGAGGCAGCAGUGGGGAAUAUUGCACAAUGGGCGCAAGCCUGAUGCAGCGACGCCGCGUGGGAUGGACGGCCUCGGGUUGGUUAAACCUCUUUCACCAGGGACGAAGCGCAGUGACGGUACCUGGAGAAGAAGCACCGGCCAACUACGUGCCAGCAGCCGCGGUAAUACGUAGGGUGCGAGCGUUGUCCGGAAUUA
Molecule: ribosomal RNA, 205 nt
Filed under: uncultured bacterium
Lineage: Bacteria
Description: partial 16S ribosomal RNA
Rfam family: Bacterial small subunit ribosomal RNA
Source: RNAcentral